RNAcentral lists this long non-coding RNA (452 nucleotides) under Setaria viridis. RNAcentral's name for it is "long non-coding RNA (SVIR_LNC004560)". Lineage: Eukaryota; Viridiplantae; Streptophyta; Magnoliopsida; Poales; Poaceae. The record is from RNAcentral.
UACCUUAAGCCUUUUCUUUUAUUUUUAGAAAAUAUUAUAAAUAUUUUCUAGCCUCAAAACCUAACUCCUAUGGGUUAAAGAUAAUUUGUGAAUAUGAAAUCAUUAUUCAUUAUCUUAUGCAUUUAAUAAAGGUUAAGUAUUUAUUUAAAUACCUUAAUGAAAAGGCAUUAAACAAAUACCUAAUUUUUAUUAUUUUUCCUAAGGUAUAAUAAUUUUAAUGCAUAAAGGAAAAUAAAACAAUCCUAACAAAAUUGGUUUCACUAAUUUUGGACACUCCUAGAAAUUCUUAUGAUUUAAAUGGUGAAAAUCGAAUUUAAUCUAUUAAUCUAAUAAAAGGAAAACCUAAAUUUAUCCCUAAACCCCCGGCCCAACUUUUCUCACUCGCCUCCUCUCUACCCUCUCUCACUCGCGCUGGGCCCGCUGCACUGGUCCACCUUCUCCCUUUCUCUCCC